GGGCGGAGACAUUACUGAUUUGCUUAAUUGCACCACAUGUGUUUUUCUUUGAAACAAACUUGCUUUGGCGGUGGGCCCAGCCUGCCGCCAGAGGUCUAAACUUACAACCAAUUUUUUAUCAACUUGUCACACCAGAUUAUUACUUAAUAGUCAAAACUUUCAACAACGGAUCUCUUGGUUCUCGCAUCGAUGAAGAACGCAGCGAAAUGCGAUACGUAAUAUGAAUUGCAGAUAUUCGUGAAUCAUCGAAUCUUUGAACGCACAUUGCGCCCUCUGGUAUUCCGGAGGGCAUGCCUGUUUGAGCGUCGUUUCUCCCUCAAACCGCUGGGUUUGGUGUUGAGCAAUACGACUUGGGUUUGCUUGAAAGACGGUAGUGGUAAGGCGGGAUCGCUUUGACAAUGGCUUAGGUCUAACCAAAAACAUUGCUUGCGGCGGUAACGUCCACCACGUAUAUCUUCAAACUUUGACCUCAAAUCAGGUAGGACUACCCGCUGAACUUAAGCAUAUCAAUAAGCGAGGAAAAAAAAACCAC
Molecule: ribosomal RNA, 532 nt
Filed under: [Candida] sp. VVT-2012
Lineage: Eukaryota; Fungi; Ascomycota; Saccharomycetes; Saccharomycetales
Description: eukaryotic LSU rRNA
Rfam family: 5.8S ribosomal RNA (bases 155-308)
Source: RNAcentral